This 496-nucleotide ribosomal RNA is filed under the name uncultured bacterium. Its description in RNAcentral is "partial 16S ribosomal RNA". It matches the Rfam family "Bacterial small subunit ribosomal RNA", at positions 28 to 506 of the family's 1533-position model. The record is from RNAcentral.
GAUGAACGCUGGCGGCGUGCCUAAUACAUGCAAGUCGAACGAACAGAUAAGGAGCUUGCUCCUUUGACGUUAGCGGCGGACGGGUGAGUAACACGUGGAUAACCUACCUAUAAGACUGGGAUAACUUCGGGAAACCGGAGCUAAUACCGGAUAACAUAUUGAACCGCAUGGUUCAAUAGUGAAAGGCGGCUUUGCUGUCACUUAUAGAUGGAUCCGCGCCGUAUUAGCUAGUUGGUAAGGUAACGGCUUACCAAGGCAACGAUACGUAGCCGACCUGAGAGGGUGACGCGCCAAAACGGAACUGAAACGCGGUCCAGAACCCCACGGGGGGCAACAGGAGGGAAUCUUCCGAAAUGGGCGAAAGCCUGCCGGAGCAACCCCGGGUGGGUGAAGAAGGUCUUCGUAUCGUAAAACUCUUUUACCAGGGAAAAACAAAUGUGUAAGUAACUGUGCACAUCUUGGCGGUACCUGAUCAGAAAGCCACGGCUAACUACGU